Molecule: ribosomal RNA, 301 nt
Filed under: uncultured bacterium
Lineage: Bacteria
Description: partial 16S ribosomal RNA
Rfam family: Bacterial small subunit ribosomal RNA
Source: RNAcentral
CAGUAGCCGCGGUAAUACGUAGGCGGCAAGCGUUGUCCGGAAUUAUUGGGCGUAAAGGGCUCGCAGGCGGUUUCUUAAGUCUGAUGUGAAAGCCCCCGGCUCAACCGGGGAGGGUCAUUGGAAACUGGGAAACUUGAGUGCAGAAGAGGAGAGUGGAAUCCCACGUGUAGCGGUGAAAUGCGUAGAGAUGUGGAGGAACACCAGUGGCGAAGGCGACUCUCUGGUCUGUAACUGACGCUGAGGAGCGAAAGCGUGGGGAGCGAACAGGAUUAGAUACCCCAGUAGUCCCUGUCUCUUAUAC